GACGAACGCUGGCGGCGUGCCUAAUACAUGCAAGUCGAACGAACUCUGGUAUUGAUUGGUGCUUGCAUCAUGAUUUACAUUUGAGUGAGUGGCGAACUGGUGAGUAACACGUGGGAAACCUGCCCAGAAGCGGGGGAUAACACCUGGAAACAGAUGCUAAUACCGCAUAACAACUUGGACCGCAUGGUCCGAGUUUGAAAGAUGGCUUCGGCUAUCACUUUUGGAUGGUCCCGCGGCGUAUUAGCUAGAUGGUGGGGUAACGGCUCACCAUGGCAAUGAUACGUAGCCGACCUGAGAGGGUAAUCGGCCACAUUGGGACUGAGACACGGCCCAAACUCCUACGGGAGGCAGCAGUAGGGAAUCUUCCACAAUGGACGAAAGUCUGAUGGAGCAACGCCGCGUGAGUGAAGAAGGGUUUCGGCUCGUAAAACUCUGUUGUUAAAGAAGAACAUAUCUGAGAGUAACUGUUCAGGUAUUGACGGUAUUUAACCAGAAAGCCACGGCUAACUACGUGCCAGCAGCCGCGGUAAUACGUAGGUGGCAAGCGUUGUCCGGAUUUAUUGGGCGUAAAGCGAGCGCAGGCGGUUUUUUAAGUCUGAUGUGAAAGCCUUCGGCUCAACCGAAGAAGUGCAUCGGAAACUGGGAAACUUGAGUGCAGAAGAGGACAGUGGAACUCCAUGUGUAGCGGUGAAAUGCGUAGAUAUAUGGAAGAACACCAGUGGCGAAGGCGGCUGUCUGGUCUGUAACUGACGCUGAGGCUCGAAAGUAUGGGUAGCAAACAGGAUUAGAUACCCUGGUAGUCCAUACCGUAAACGAUGAAUGCUAAGUGUUGGAGGGUUCCGCCCUUCAGUGCUGCAGCUAACGCAUUAAGCAUUCCGCCUGGGGAGUACGGCCGCAAGGCUGAAACUCAAAGGAAUUGACGGGGGCCCGCACAAGCGGUGGAGCAUGUGGUUUAAUUCGAAGCUACGCGAAGAACCUUACCAGGUCUUGACAUACUAUGCAAAUCUAAGAGAUUAGACGUUCCCUUCGGGGACAUGGAUACAGGUGGUGCAUGGUUGUCGUCAGCUCGUGUCGUGAGAUGUUGGGUUAAGUCCCGCAACGAGCGCAACCCUUAUUAUCAGUUGCCAGCAUUAAGUUGGGCACUCUGGUGAGACUGCCGGUGACAAACCGGAGGAAGGUGGGGAUGACGUCAAAUCAUCAUGCCCCUUAUGACCUGGGCUACACACGUGCUACAAUGGAUGGUACAACGAGUUGCGAACUCGCGAGAGUAAGCUAAUCUCUUAAAGCCAUUCUCAGUUCGGAUUGUAGGCUGCAACUCGCCUACAUGAAGUCGGAAUCGCUAGUAAUCGCGGAUCAGCAUGCCGCGGUGAAUACGUUCCCGGGCCUUGUACACACCGCCCGUCACACCAUGAGAGUUUGUAACACCCAAAGUCGGUGGGGUAACCUUUUAGGAACCAGCCGCCUAAGGUGGGACAGAUGAUUAGGGUG
This 1488-nucleotide ribosomal RNA is filed under the name Lactiplantibacillus pentosus. RNAcentral describes it as "bacterial SSU rRNA". It matches the Rfam family "Bacterial small subunit ribosomal RNA". The record is from RNAcentral. Lineage: Bacteria; Bacillati; Bacillota; Bacilli; Lactobacillales; Lactobacillaceae.